AACGAACGCUGGCGGCAUGCCUAACACAUGCAAGUCGAACGAGACCUUCGGGUCUAGUGGCGCACGGGUGCGUAACGCGUGGGAACCUGCCCUUAGGUUCGGAAUAACUCCCCGAAAGGGGUGCUAAUACCGGAUAAUGUCUUCGGACCAAAGAUUUAUCGCCUUUGGAUGGGCCCGCGUUGGAUUAGCUAGUUGGUAGGGUAAAAGCCUACCAAGGCGACGAUCCAUAGCUGGUCUGAGAGGAUGAUCAGCCACACUGGGACUGAGACACGGCCCAGACUCCUACGGGAGGCAGAAGUGGGGAAUAUUGGACAAUGGGCGAAAGCCUGAUCCAGCAAUGCCGCGUGAGUGAUGAAGGCCUUAGGGUUGUAAAGCUAUUUUACCCGGGAUGAUAAUGACAGUACCGGGAGAAUAAGCUCCGGCUAACUCCGUG
Molecule: ribosomal RNA, 433 nt
Filed under: uncultured bacterium
Lineage: Bacteria
Description: partial 16S ribosomal RNA
Rfam family: Bacterial small subunit ribosomal RNA
Source: RNAcentral